AUAACGGUCCUAAGGUAGCGAAAUUCCUUGUCGGGUAAGUUCCGACCUGCACGAAAGGCGCAACGACUUGGGCGCUGUCUCGACCAUGGACCCGGUGAAAUUGCACUGGUCGUGAAGAUGCGACUUACCCGCGGAAGGACGGAAAGACCCCGUGAACCUUCACUGCAGCUUGGCAUUGGCCGCUGGUCCCGCGUGUAGAGGAUAGGCAGGAGGCAUCGAUCCGGAGGCGCCAGCCCCCGGGGAGCCGCCCUUGGAAUACUGCCCUCGCGCGACCGGCGUCCUAACCCGAGGCCGUCAACCGGCUCGGGGACCGUGCCAGGCGGGCAGUUUGACUGGGGCGGUCGCCUCCUAAAGGGUAACGGAGGCGCGCGAAGGUCCGCUCGGGACGGUCGGCAACCGUCCUUUUGAAUGCAAGAGUACAAGCGGGCUUGACUGCGAGGCCCACAAGCCGAGCAGGUGCGAAAGCAGGCUCUAGUGAUCCGGCGGCCCCGAGUGGGUGGGCCGUCGCUCAACGGAUAAAAGGUACUCCGGGGAUAACAGGCUGAUCUUGCCCAAGAGUCCACAUCGACGGCAAGGUUUGGCACCUCGAUGUCGGCUCAUCGCAUCCUGGGGCUGGAGUCGGUCCCAAGGGUACGGCUGUUCGCCGUUUAAAGCGGUACGCGAGCUGGGUUCAGAACGUCGUGAGACAGUUCGGUCCCUAUCCUCCGUGGGCGCAGGAGAAUCGAUGGAGGCUGCCCCCAGUACGAGAGGACCGGGGUGGACGCACCUCCGGUGAACCGGUUGUCGACCAACGGCACGGCCGGGUAGCCGCGUGCGGCGCGGAUAACCGCUGAAGGCAUCUAAGCGGGAAGCCGUUCCAGGGAUUAGUUCUCCUUCCGGUAAGGGCCCAGGUAGACUACCUGGUCGAUAGACGGCAGGUGCAAGGCUGGCGACAGCCUCAGCCGAGCCGCACUAAUCGCCCGAGCUCUUCCGGAA
Molecule: ribosomal RNA, 975 nt
Filed under: human gut metagenome
Description: bacterial LSU rRNA
Rfam family: Bacterial large subunit ribosomal RNA
Source: RNAcentral